UUUCCGUAGGUGAACCUGCGGAAGGAUCAUUACAGAGUUCAUGCCCUCACGGGUAGAUCUCCCUCCCUUGAAUAUUUAUACCUUAGUUGCUUUGGCAGGCCGUGGAAACACCAUGGGCUCCGGCUUAUGCGUGCCUGCCAGAGGAAACAAACUCUGUUUUUAGUGAUGUCUGAGUACUAUAUAAUAGUUAAAACUUUCAACAACGGAUCUCUUGGUUCUG
RNAcentral lists this unclassified non-coding RNA (220 nucleotides) under plant metagenome. RNAcentral's name for it is "partial contains small subunit ribosomal RNA, internal transcribed spacer 1, and 5.8S ribosomal RNA". The record is from RNAcentral.